This is a long non-coding RNA of Astatotilapia calliptera (eastern happy), 1113 nucleotides long. The record is from Ensembl. NCBI's taxonomy places the organism in Eukaryota, Metazoa, Chordata, Actinopteri, Cichliformes, Cichlidae.
GUGCAAUUGGAAGUAUUUUGGAAACAAAAUAUAUACACUGUACACGUAAUUUGUCUGUUUACAUGUUUGUUUAAGAAAAUAUCAGACACACUGCCAACGAGAAUAAUUUCUUAUAUUUUUGAUUAGGAAUUCUGAUUUAUUUAAUCCAACACACGUGUGUGUGUGUGUGUGUGUGUGUGUGUGUGUGCUCUAGUGUCAGAUGCUUCGGGUAUAUGUGUUGACUGACCACAAAGUAAAGACGCUCUUAACAAACGUCGACAAAAGAUCAAAAAUGAAGCAUAUAAACACAAUAAGUACAAAAAGGGAAAGGAUCAGGGACAGUGUGAGGUGACGGCUUGAAGUAAUCUGGGAGUUCAAAUCUCAGCUGCGUAAUAGUGGGAAACAAGCGUAACUCUUGGCUUUCUACAUCACCUGUCAGGGUCUGUUCAGCGACAAGAAAGGCUCAGUGUGUAGGCAGGCUAACCAACUACAAAGGACCAGUGCUACUUCAUCAGUUCACAAGGAAGAAAGUUCUGCAGUGCUGCGAUGUCUGAUCCAACAGGUGGUAUCAUGGAGGCGACUGUUGCCAUGACACAAUGACACCUGACCUGACAGACCGAUAUCAAGACCUUCUCCCGACCUCUGACACGACCUUUGACACCUGUCUGACCUUACUCCCGGUCAGUGACCUUGCAGCGACUCACUGAUAGGACGCUCCAGUGUUAUAACACUAAUAAACUGAAGUCUUAAUCGUAAACAGUCUGUGAAUAGCAAUUGUGUAGUUUGUGGUCAGUGUCAUACUUUCGUGCUUUCUAAGUGCAAAAUGUCAGCCUCGACACUGCUCUUUGAUUUAACAGAUUAUUUAAGAAACGCUGACGUGAGAAGUCUCAUGGUUCGAGCAGUGUGCAGCAUUUUACUUUAUGAAAAUCUGCAGGCAGGAGGCUGCAGUUUACUGAUAAGCUGUGAAAAACAGGCUUUAUAAAGCUGGAUGUGGACAGUUUGUAGUUCACAUCUGGUCCUCCUUAUUUGUCUGAUGGUACGCUCUGUAGCCUGUGCAGGUCUCGGUUAAAAGGUGGUGAUUUGAAUGACUGUGAAACCUUUUUUUUUUUGUCAAUAAAAAUAUAGUUGAACACA